AGAGUUUGAUCCUGGCUCAGGAUGAACGCUGGCGGCGUGCCUAAUACAUGCAAGUCGAGCGAACGGACGAGAAGCUUGCUUCUCUGAUGUUAGCGGCGGACGGGUGAGUAACACGUGGAUAACCUACCUAUAAGACUGGGAUAACUUCGGGAAACCGGAGCUAAUACCGGAUAAUAUUUUGAACCGCAUGGUUCAAAAGUGAAAGACGGUCUUGCUGUCACUUAUAGAUGGAUCCGCGCUGCAUUAGCUAGUUGGUAAGGUAACGGCUUACCAAGGCAACGAUGCAUAGCCGACCUGAGAGGGUGAUCGGCCACACUGGAACUGAGACACGGUCCAGACUCCUACGGGAGGCAGCAGUAGGGAAUCUUCCGCAAUGGGCGAAAGCCUGACGGAGCAACGCCGCGUGAGUGAUGAAGGUCUUCGGAUCGUAAAACUCUGUUAUUAGGGAAGAACAUAUGUGUAAGUAACUGUGCACAUCUUGACGGUACCUAAUCAGAAAGCCACGGCUAACUACGUGCCAGCAGCCGCGGUAAUACGUAGGUGGCAAGCGUUAUCCGGAAUUAUUGGGCGUAAAGCGCGCGUAGGCGGUUUUUUAAGUCUGAUGUGAAAGCCCACGGCUCAACCGUGGAGGGUCAUUGGAAACUGGAAAACUUGAGUGCAGAAGAGGAAAGUGGAAUUCCAUGUGUAGCGGUGAAAUGCGCAGAGAUAUGGAGGAACACCAGUGGCGAAGGCGACUUUCUGGUCUGUAACUGACGCUGAUGUGCGAAAGCGUGGGGAUCAAACAGGAUUAGAUACCCUGGUAGUCCACGCCGUAAACGAUGAGUGCUAAGUGUUAGGGGGUUUCCGCCCCUUAGUGCUGCAGCUAACGCAUUAAGCACUCCGCCUGGGGAGUACGACCGCAAGGUUGAAACUCAAAGGAAUUGACGGGGACCCGCACAAGCGGUGGAGCAUGUGGUUUAAUUCGAAGCAACGCGAAGAACCUUACCAAAUCUUGACAUCCUUUGACAACUCUAGAGAUAGAGCCUUCCCCUUCGGGGGACAAAGUGACAGGUGGUGCAUGGUUGUCGUCAGCUCGUGUCGUGAGAUGUUGGGUUAAGUCCCGCAACGAGCGCAACCCUUAAGCUUAGUUGCCAUCAUUAAGUUGGGCACUCUAAGUUGACUGCCGGUGACAAACCGGAGGAAGGUGGGGAUGACGUCAAAUCAUCAUGCCCCUUAUGAUUUGGGCUACACACGUGCUACAAUGCGAGGUCAAGCAAAUCCCAUAAAGUUGUUCUCAGUUCGGAUUGUAGUCUGCAACUCGACUACAUGAAGCUGGAAUCGCUAGUAAUCGUAGAUCAGCAUGCUACGGUGAAUACGUUCCCGGGUCUUGUACACACCGCCCGUCACACCACGAGAGUUUGUAACACCCGAAGCCGGUGGAGUAACCUUUUAGGAGCUAGCCGUCGAAGGUGGGACAAAUGAUUGGGGUGAAGUCGUAACAAGGUAGCCGUAUCGGAAGGUGCGGCUGGAUCACCU
This 1515-nucleotide ribosomal RNA is filed under the name Staphylococcus aureus. RNAcentral's name for it is "bacterial SSU rRNA". It matches the Rfam family "Bacterial small subunit ribosomal RNA". The record is from RNAcentral. Lineage: Bacteria; Bacillati; Bacillota; Bacilli; Caryophanales; Staphylococcaceae.